AGGAUGCUGGCCCUCUGUAAAGAUCUGCAGCAUGGUGCAAGCUAUCAACAUUACUACAAGACUGGGCUGUUACUGAGAAUAGCAGAGGUGUACGUUUGUAUAACAACCCCUACUGCCACAUCUCUGCACAUAGAAGCCAGGACAAAUGGCGAGGAGCACCUUGGAGAUGAGAAGUCAGUGGUGGAACUACUUUGGGUGCAUUUAGCUUUCUUUAUUCAGUCACUCCAGGAGUUUCUAGGGAGCUGGAAGGGAAGCCCAUACACAGUGUGGCUGAAACCAUCGGGAACAGUUUUUUACAAAGGAGCAAAAGUCACAGAGCCACAGUCUUUCCCCCUCUACCAGUGUCUGCACAGUCUACACAAGGGAACCAGUGUCAAGUUCAAAGAUGGUGGAGACACCAACCUUCAGCUGGACCUAGAGGUGUUGUUCCCAAUA
Lingula anatina is the source of this 435-nucleotide long non-coding RNA. The record is from RefSeq and is a predicted model, not a curated record. Lineage: Eukaryota; Metazoa; Brachiopoda; Lingulata; Lingulida; Lingulidae.